RNAcentral lists this ribosomal RNA (1258 nucleotides) under metagenome. Its description in RNAcentral is "bacterial LSU rRNA". It matches the Rfam family "Bacterial large subunit ribosomal RNA", at positions 1632 to 2910 of the family's 2925-position model. The record is from RNAcentral.
UCCUUAUAGACCGUACCCGAAACCGACACAGGUGGACUGGUAGAGCAUACCAAGGCGCUUGAGAGAACGAUGCUGAAGGAACUCGGCAAAUUGCACGCGUAACUUCGGGAUAAGCGUGACUUCGUUCCGGGCAACCGGUUCGGAGUGGCACAGAAUUGGGGGUAGCGACUGUUUACUAAAAACACAGGGCUCUGCGAAGCCGCAAGGCGACGUAUAGGGCCUGACGCCUGCCCGGUGCCGGAAGGUUAAAUGGAGGGGUGCAAGCUCUGAAAUGAAGCCCCGGUAAACGGCGGCCGUAACGAUAACGGUCCUAAGGUAGCGAAAUUCCUUGUCGGGUAAGUUCCGACCUGCACGAAUGGCGUAACGACUUCCCCACUGUCUCCAGCAUCGACUCAGUGAAACUGAAUUCCUCGUGAAGAUGCGAGGUUCCUGCGGUUAGACGGAAAGACCCCAUGCACCUUUACUAUAGCUUUGCGUUGGCAUUCGUGUCGGGAUGUGUAGGAUAGGUGGUAGGCUAUGAAGUCAGGACGCCAGUUCUGAUGGAGCCGCAAGAUGAAAUACCACCCUUUUUGACAUGAGUGUCUAACCGCGGCAUAACAGUGCCCGGAACAGCGCAUGGUGGGUAGUUUGACUGGGGCGGUCGCCUCCCAAAGAGUAACGGAGGCGCGCGAUGGUUGGCUCAGAGCGGUCGGAGAUCGCUCGUUGAGUGCAAUGGCAUAAGCCAGCCUGACUGCGAGACUGACAAGUCGAGCAGAGACGAAAGUCGGUCAUAGUGAUCCGGUGGUCCCGAGUGGAAGGGCCAUCGCUCAACGGAUAAAAGGUACGCUGGGGAUAACAGGCUGAUGGUGCCCAAGAGUCCAUAUCGACGGCACCGUUUGGCACCUCGAUGUCGGCUCAUCACAUCCUGGGGCUGGAGCAGGUCCCAAGGGUAUGGCUGUUCGCCAUUUAAAGUGGUACGUGAGCUGGGUUUAGAACGUCGUGAGACAGUUCGGUCCCUAUCUGCCGUGGGUGUUGGAAUAUUGAGAGGAGCUGACUCUAGUACGAGAGGACCGAGUUGGACGCACCUCUGGUGGACCUGUUGUGGCGCCAGCCGCGUAGCAGGGUAGCUACGUGCGGACGGGAUAAGCGCUGAAAGCAUCUAAGCGCGAAGCCUCCCUUGAAACGAGUAUUCCCUAAACAGAGCCGUGGUAGACCACCACGUUGAUAGGCCGGGUGUGGAAGCGCAGCAAUGUGUGAAGCUUACCGGUACUAAUAGCCC